This 484-nucleotide ribosomal RNA is filed under the name uncultured bacterium. RNAcentral describes it as "partial 16S ribosomal RNA". It matches the Rfam family "Bacterial small subunit ribosomal RNA", at positions 30 to 507 of the family's 1533-position model. The record is from RNAcentral.
AUUGAACGCUGGCGGCAGGCCUAACACAUGCAAGUCGAGCGGAUGAAGGGAGCUUGCUCCUGGAUUCAGCGGCGGACGGGUGAGUAAUGCCUAGGAAUCUGCCUGGUAGUGGGGGAUAACGUCCGGAAACGGGCGCUAAUACCGCAUACGUCCUGAGGGAGAAAGUGGGGGAUCUUCGGACCUCACGCUAUCAGAUGAGCCUAGGUCGGAUUAGCUAGUUGGUGGGGUAAAGGCCUACCAAGGCGACGAUCCGUAACUGGUCUGAGAGGAUGAUCAGUCACACUGGAACUGAGACACGGUCCAGACUCCUACGGGAGGCAGCAGUGGGGAAUAGUGGACGAUGGGCGAAAGCCUGAUCCAGGCAGGCCGGGUGGGUGAAGAAGGUCUUCGGAUGGUAAAGCACUUUAAGGUGGGAGGAAGGGCAGUAAGUUAAUACCUGGCUGUUUUGACGUUACCAACAGAAUGAGCACGGGCUAGCUUGGUG